This is a non-coding RNA of Microcebus murinus (gray mouse lemur), 1403 nucleotides long. The record is from RefSeq and is a predicted model, not a curated record. Lineage: Eukaryota; Metazoa; Chordata; Mammalia; Primates; Cheirogaleidae.
CUUGGUGCUCAGUCCUCUGUCCCUCCUUAGCGCGGCCGUCCCUGCUGGCUUCAGGCGGGCAGAGGAGGCCCUGAGCUGACGUCUCCUGCCUCCUUCGAACACCCGGAAAGGACAGUGUCCAGGUUCCACGCAGGUCGCCCCAGUGGAAGCUGCAAGCGUGUCUUAGGAACGUUGCGAAGAGGGACUUGCUUUCAGUUCUGGGAAUAUUCCUGGCCAGUAAUUUGACUAAAAGAACGUCCCGCCAUCGCUGCUCACACCCCUCUUUAAACCUUCACAGACGGUAGAUUCCACUUCGUGUGAUCUGGGUAGAAUGUUAGGGCUCAGAAAGGUCUUUCACGUCCCGCAUUUGCAUUUUCUCCCUCUUUGCAGAGCCACCGUCCUGAGAGGCUCCGUUGCUAGAUAACUAAUUGCAGAGAGCAGAGCAGGCUGCCGGAGGGGGAGCUCCUCCCCUGAGCAGUAGGUGAGCCGAGCUCCUGACCACUAGGAAGCCCAGGGCGAUGAUUUGUCUGUCAAAGCUGGAAGGCACAAAUGCAGUUAUCAAAACAAGCACUGGCUCACAUGCGCAGGACCAAAAAUAAAUUAGGGCAGGCCGAAGAGAAACAGGCUGGCUGCCAACGGGACGUGCAGGAGUUCCAAGAGCAGAGUCUAUAAAUGUGGUCCUGUUUGUUUUUAUGAGGUUCUCAAGGAAAACCUUUUAUGGAGUGGAAUUCUGGGUGUUUCCUCCUAAUAUUUCUUAAAACUAAAUUAAAUCAACAAACGGUUAUUGUGCCCCUGCAGUGAGUGAGGCAGCCUUUGGGAAGCUGCAGUUUGGGAGCAGGAAAGGAAUAAAGAGACAGGGAAGAAAAAAGGGUGACAGUGCUCCCCAUGUGUGGCUCCCCCCGGGGCACAGGUGGAGGAGGAGGAGGAUGGAGUGAACUGGAAGGCGGAUCAGGGUAAGGUGAGGAUUCUGAGCCCCGUGGCUGGCGAGGCGGCCCAGCUACUUCUCCCGGGAGCGCGGGAGGAGACCACAGAGCGAGGGAGAUGCAGAGGGAGGGCCUGAGACUGUCACAGAGCCGAUGAAAGAGGCACAGUCUCCGAUUCAGGAAACACAAGUCCCAAGCGGGACAAAUAGAGAGAAAUCCACACCUAAACACACGGUAGUGAGAAGUCACAGGCCAUCAGGACAGAGAGACGACCUUGCAAGCUGUCAAAGAGAAGAAAUCCAUCCACUUGCCCACGGGUGACCAGAGUGACGGCAGACUUCUCAGCAGCAACAGCAGAAGGAAAGACACAAUGGAAUGACGCCUCCCAGUGCCCAGAGACAGCAGACCUUUGCUGAAAGAACCACCAAGGAAAUAAGGAAAUUCCAGAAGAGAGACGUAAACGCCAGAAGCACUGGAGAGAUAAAAAAAAAAAAAAGUAAA